GUGGGAGGGGGCUUGCCCCCGAUGGCGGAGUGUCAGUUAGCAAAUAUAUCAACUGACCCACCGCCAUCGGGGGCAAGCCCCCUCCCAC
This 88-nucleotide unclassified non-coding RNA is filed under the name Pseudomonas orientalis. The record is from RNAcentral. Lineage: Bacteria; Pseudomonadati; Pseudomonadota; Gammaproteobacteria; Pseudomonadales; Pseudomonadaceae.